RNAcentral lists this ribosomal RNA (484 nucleotides) under uncultured bacterium. Its description in RNAcentral is "partial 16S ribosomal RNA". It matches the Rfam family "Bacterial small subunit ribosomal RNA", at positions 28 to 523 of the family's 1533-position model. The record is from RNAcentral.
GACGAACGCUGGCGGCGUGCUUAACACAUGCAAGUCGAACGAUGAUGCUGGAGCUUGCUCCAGUUGAUUAGUGGCGAACGGGUGAGUAACACGUGAGCAAUCCGCCCUUGACUCUGGGAUAACUGCGGGAAACUGUAGCUAAUACCGGAUACUUUCACCGGGGGGCAUCCUCUGGUGAUGAAAGAAUUUCGGUCAAGGAUGAGCUCGCGGCCUAUCAGCUUGUUGGUGAGGUAACGGCUCACCAAGGCGACGACGGGUAACCGGCCUGAGAGGGUGACCGGUCACACUGGGACUGAGACACGGCCCAGACUCCUACGGGAGGCAGCAGUGGGGAAUAUUGCACAAUGGGCGCAAGCCUGAUGCAGCAACGCCGCGUGAGGGAUGAAGGCCCUCGGGUUGUAAACCUCUUUUAGCAAGGAAGAAGCGAAAGUGACGGUACCUGCAGAAAAAGCACCGGCUAACUACGUGCCAGCCGCCGCAGUAA